RNAcentral lists this ribosomal RNA (464 nucleotides) under Vreelandella stevensii. RNAcentral describes it as "partial 16S ribosomal RNA". It matches the Rfam family "Bacterial small subunit ribosomal RNA", at positions 338 to 795 of the family's 1533-position model. The record is from RNAcentral. Lineage: Bacteria; Pseudomonadati; Pseudomonadota; Gammaproteobacteria; Oceanospirillales; Halomonadaceae.
CCUACGGGGGGCUGCAGUGGGGAAUAUUGGACAAUGGGCGAAAGCCUGAUCCAGCCAUGCCGCGUGUGUGAAGAAGGCCUUCGGGUUGUAAAGCACUUUCAGUGGGGAAGAAAGCCUUGGGGCUAAUACCCUCGAGGAAGGACAUCACCCACAGAAGAAGCACCGGCUAACUCCGUGCCAGCAGCCGCGGUAAUACGGAGGGUGCGAGCGUUAAUCGGAAUUACUGGGCGUAAAGCGCGCGUAGGCGGUCUGAUAAGCCGGUUGUGAAAGCCCCGGGCUCAACCUGGGAACGGCAUCCGGAACUGUCAGGCUAGAGUGCAGGAGAGAAGGUAGAAUUCCCGGUGUAGCGGUGAAAUGCGUAGAGAUCGGGAGGAAUACCAGUGGCGAAGGCGGCCUUCUGGACUGACACUGACGCUGAGGUGCGAAAGCGUGGGUAGCAAACAGGAUUAGAUACCCUGGUAGUC